CAGCAGCCGCGGUAAUACAGAGGAUGCAAGCGUUAUCCGGAAUGAUUGGGCGUAAAGUGUCUGUAGGUGGCUUUUCAAGUCCGCCGUCAAAUCCCAGGGCUCAACCCUGGACAGGCGGUGGAAACUACCAAGCUGGAGUAUGGUAGGGGCAGAGGGAAUUUCCGGUGGAGCGGUGAAAUGCGUUGAGAUCGGAAAAAACACCAACGACGAAAGCACUCUGCUGGGCCGACACUGACACUUAGAGACGAAAGCUAGGGGAGCAAAUGGGAUUAGAUACCCGUGUAGUCCCUGUCUCUUAUAU
This 301-nucleotide ribosomal RNA is filed under the name uncultured bacterium. RNAcentral's name for it is "partial 16S ribosomal RNA". It matches the Rfam family "Bacterial small subunit ribosomal RNA", at positions 509 to 809 of the family's 1533-position model. The record is from RNAcentral.